UUGAAUUUUAAUGAGGAGUUUGGUUGUAGCUGGCCCAUUCAUUUGGGCAUGUGCACACCUUCCUCUUUCAUCCCACACACACCUGUGAACCUGUGAGACAGAGAUGGGGAAUUUACUUGCUGCUUUUUGGAAUACAAAGGCAAUAGGUUAUUGGACCCCCCCUCUGUCUACUCAAUUAAUAUAAACUCAAUUUAUUUUAAAACGAAUGUAAUGGAUGUAACACAUCUCAUAC
This 232-nucleotide unclassified non-coding RNA is filed under the name soil metagenome. RNAcentral describes it as "partial internal transcribed spacer 1". The record is from RNAcentral.